RNAcentral lists this ribosomal RNA (36 nucleotides) under uncultured soil eukaryote. RNAcentral describes it as "partial 5.8S ribosomal RNA". The record is from RNAcentral.
CUGGUAUUCCGGAGAGCAUGCCUGUUUGAGUGUCAU